UAGAGUUUGAUCAUGGCUCAGGACGAACGCUGGCGGCGUGCCUAAUACAUGCAAGUCGAGCGAGCAGAACCAGCAGAUUUACUUUGGUAAUGACGCUGGGGACGCGAGCGGCGGAUGGGUGAGUAACACGUGGGGAACCUGCCCCAUAGUCUGGGAUACCACUUGGAAACAGGUGCUAAUACCGGAUAAUAAAGCAAAUCGCAUGAUCAGCUUAUAAAAGGCGGCGUAAGCUGUCGCUAUGGGAUGGCCCCGCGGUGCAUUAGCUAGUUGGUAAGGUAACGGCUUACCAAGGCAAUGAUGCAUAGCCGAGUUGAGAGACUGAACGGCCACAUUGGGACUGAGACACGGCCCAAACUCCUACGGGAGGCAGCAGUAGGGAAUCUUCCACAAUGGACGCAAGUCUGAUGGAGCAACGCCGCGUGAGUGAAGAAGGUUUUCGGAUCGUAAAGCUCUGUUGUUGGUGAAGAAGGAUAGAGGUAGUAACUGGCCUUUAUUUGACGGUAAUCAACCAGAAAGUCACGGCUAACUACGUGCCAGCAGCCGCGGUAAUACGUAGGUGGCAAGCGUUGUCCGGAUUUAUUGGGCGUAAAGCGAGCGCAGGCGGAAGAAUAAGUCUGAUGUGAAAGCCCUCGGCUUAACCGAGGAAUUGCAUCGGAAACUGUUUUUCUUGAGUGCAGAAGAGGAGAGUGGAACUCCAUGUGUAGCGGUGGAAUGCGUAGAUAUAUGGAAGAACACCAGUGGCGAAGGCGGCUCUCUGGUCUGCAACUGACGCUGAGGCUCGAAAGCAUGGGUAGCGAACAGGAUUAGAUACCCUGGUAGUCCAUGCCGUAAACGAUGAGUGCUAAGUGUUGGGAGGUUUCCGCCUCUCAGUGCUGCAGCUAACGCAUUAAGCACUCCGCCUGGGGAGUACGACCGCAAGGUUGAAACUCAAAGGAAUUGACGGGGGCCCGCACAAGCGGUGGAGCAUGUGGUUUAAUUCGAAGCAACGCGAAGAACCUUACCAGGUCUUGACAUCUAGUGCCAUCCUAAGAGAUUAGGAGUUCCCUUCGGGGACGCUAAGACAGGUGGUGCAUGGCUGUCGUCAGCUCGUGUCGUGAGAUGUUGGGUUAAGUCCCGCAACGAGCGCAACCCUUAUUAUUAGUUGCCAGCAUUAAGUUGGGCACUCUAAUGAGACUGCCGGUGACAAACCGGAGGAAGGUGGGGAUGACGUCAAGUCAUCAUGCCCCUUAUGACCUGGGCUACACACGUGCUACAAUGGGCAGUACAACGAGAAGCGAGCCUGCGAAGGCAAGCGAAUCUCUGAAAGCUGUUCUCAGUUCGGACUGCAGUCUGCAACUCGACUACACGAAGCUGGAAUCGCUAGUAAUCGCGGAUCAGAACGCCGCGGUGAAUACGUUCCCGGGCCUUGUACACACCGCCCGUCACACCAUGGAAGUCUGCAAUGCCCAAAGCCGGUGGCCUAACCUUCGGGAAGGAGCCGUCUAAGGCAGGGCAGAUGACUGGGGUGAAGUCGUAACAAGGUAACC
RNAcentral lists this ribosomal RNA (1526 nucleotides) under uncultured Lactobacillus sp. RNAcentral's name for it is "bacterial SSU rRNA". It matches the Rfam family "Bacterial small subunit ribosomal RNA". The record is from RNAcentral. Lineage: Bacteria; Bacillati; Bacillota; Bacilli; Lactobacillales; Lactobacillaceae.